RNAcentral lists this unclassified non-coding RNA (341 nucleotides) under Hevea brasiliensis (rubber tree). The record is from RNAcentral. Lineage: Eukaryota; Viridiplantae; Streptophyta; Magnoliopsida; Malpighiales; Euphorbiaceae.
CCCUUUACUUACCAAGAAACUGCAGUUUCAUUGGAACAAAAUAACAUCAAUUAUGAAUCAUGCAGUGAUUUGUCCUAAUCUCACAUUCCUCAUAUGUACAUAAAUGUCAUAAAAUCUCAACUUGCAAUUGUCAGUGUUUCCUAACUCAUAAUGUUAGCGUCUUGUGCUUCGAGCCAAAGCACCACCAUUGGCAAACGAGUUAAAUUGAACACAGAGAUUUGCUUCACUGUAUGUUCUUCACUUUGUCCUGAGUUAAAGCCAUUGCUUUGUUGUCGGGAGGGGACGUCCUGGUAUUCCUUCUAGAGUCAUCAGAGUCGAUUGGUUUUCCUCCAAGAGAAGAU